GCCGGGAUGGCGGAGUGGACAACGCGCAGGCCUUGAGAGCCUGUGGCCCUUAUGGGCCGCGUGGGUUCGAAUCCCACUCCCGGCGCCA
Molecule: transfer RNA, 88 nt
Filed under: Candidatus Bathyarchaeota archaeon
Lineage: Archaea; Thermoproteati; Candidatus Bathyarchaeota
Also listed under: 1 other name
Description: tRNA-Ser
Rfam family: tRNA
About the family: Transfer RNA (tRNA) molecules are approximately 80 nucleotides in length. Their secondary structure includes four short double-helical elements and three loops (D, anti-codon, and T loops). Further hydrogen bonds mediate the characteristic L-shaped molecular structure. tRNAs have two regions of fundamental functional importance: the anti-codon, which is responsible for specific mRNA codon recognition, and the 3' end, to which the tRNAs corresponding amino acid is attached (by aminoacyl-tRNA synthetases). tRNAs cope with the degeneracy of the genetic code in two manners: having more than one tRNA (with a specific anti-codon) for a particular amino acid; and 'wobble' base-pairing, i.e. permitting non-standard base-pairing at the 3rd anti-codon position.
Source: RNAcentral